RNAcentral lists this ribosomal RNA (1228 nucleotides) under metagenome. Its description in RNAcentral is "bacterial LSU rRNA". It matches the Rfam family "Bacterial large subunit ribosomal RNA", at positions 1639 to 2876 of the family's 2925-position model. The record is from RNAcentral.
UGCCUGUACCAGAACCGACACAGGUGGGUAGGUAGAGUAUACUAAGGGGCGCGAGAUAACUCUCUCUAAGGAACUCGGCAAAAUAACUCCGUAACUUCGGGAGAAGGAGUGCCUUCUUUAAGAAGGUUGCAAUAACAAGAUCCAAGCAACUGUUUAUCAAAAACACGGGUCUCCGCUAAGUCGCAAGACGAUGUAUGGGGGCUGACGCCUGCCCAGUGCCAGAGGGUUAAAGAAAUUGGUUAGCUUUGGCGAAGCUGAUGACUGAAGCCCUGGUGAACGGCGGCCGUAACGAUAACGGUCCUAAGGUAGCGAAAUUCCUUGUCGGGUAAGUUCCGACCCGCACGAAAGGCGUAAUGAUUUGGAUACUGUCUCGGAGAGGGACUCGGUGAAAUAGACUUGUCUGUGAAGAUGCGGACUACCUGCACCAGGACAGAAAGACCCUAUGAAGCUUUACUGUAACUUGAAAUUGAAAUUGGACUUUAUUUGCGCAGCAUAGGUGGAAGGCUUGGAAGGUAUUCUUGCGGGACUACUGGAGCCAUCAGUGAGAUACCACUCCUAUAAUGUUAGAUUUCUAACUUUGAAUCAUGAUCUGGUCAAAGAACAGUUUCAGGCGGGCAGUUUGACUGGGGCGGUCGCCUCCCAAAUGGUAACGGAGGCGUACAAAGGUUUCCUCUGAACGGGUAGAAAUCGUAUCUAGAGUGUAAAGGCAUAAGGAAGCUUGACUGUGAGACCUACAAGUCGAGCAGGGACGAAAGUCGGUCUUAGUGAUCUGACGGUGCUGAGUGGAAAGGCCGUCACUCAACGGAUAAAAGUUACUCUAAGGAUAACAGGCUGAUCUCCCCCAAGAGUUCACAUCGACGGGGAGGUUUGGCACCUCGAUGUCGGCUCAUCGCAUCCUGGGGCGGUAGUACGUCCCAAGGGUUGGGCUGUUCGCCCAUGAAAGCGGUACGCGAGCUGGGUUCAGAACGUCGUGAGACAGUUCGGUCCAUAUCCGGUGUAGGCGUUAGAAUAUUGAGAGGAGCCUUCUUUAGUACGAGAGGACCGAGAAGGACAUACCUCUGGUGUACCAGUUAUCGUGCCAACGGUAAACGCUGGGUAGCCAAGUGCGGAGCGGAUAACCGCUGAAAGCAUCUAAGUGGGAAGCCCACCUCAAGAUGAUUGCUCUCACAGGGUUAACCUGGUAAGGUCACGGGAAGACCACCCGUUGAUAGGCACUCGGUGGAAGUCC